UACGUAGGGUGCAAGCGUUGUCCGGAAUUAUUGGGCGUAAAGAGCUCGUAGGCGGUUUGUCGCGUCUGCUGUGAAAACUCAGGGCUUAACUCUGAGCUUGCAGUGGGUACGGGCAGACUAGAGUGCGGUAGAGGAGACUGGAAUUCCUGGUGUAGCGGUGAAAUGCGCAGAUAUCAGGAGGAACACCGGUGGCGAAGGCGGGUCUCUGGGCCGAUACUGACGCUGAGGAGCGAAAGCGUGGGGAGCGAACAGG
This 253-nucleotide ribosomal RNA is filed under the name uncultured bacterium. RNAcentral describes it as "partial 16S ribosomal RNA". It matches the Rfam family "Bacterial small subunit ribosomal RNA", at positions 524 to 776 of the family's 1533-position model. The record is from RNAcentral.